RNAcentral lists this ribosomal RNA (480 nucleotides) under uncultured bacterium. RNAcentral's name for it is "partial 16S ribosomal RNA". It matches the Rfam family "Bacterial small subunit ribosomal RNA", at positions 28 to 507 of the family's 1533-position model. The record is from RNAcentral.
GACGAACGUUGGCGGCGUGCUUAAUACAUGCAAGUCAACUGAAGCAGUGGUAGCAAUAUCGCUGUGGAGGUGGCGCACGGGUGAGUAACACGUAGGUAAUCUGCCUUCAGGUCUGGCAUAACUCCGGGAAACCGGGCUAAUAGCAGAUGAUGCAGCGGCUCGACAUCGAGACAGUUGUUAAAGCUAUGGCGCCUGAAGAUGAGCCUGCGUCUGAUUAGCUAGUUGGCGGGGUAACGGCCCACCAAGGCAACGAUCAGUAGCUGGUCUGAGAGGAUGAUCAGCCACACUGGAACUGGGACACGGUCCAGACUCCUACGGGAGGCAGCAGUAAGGAAUAUUGCUCAAUGGGAGAAAUCCUGAAGCAGCAACGCCGCGUGAGGGACGAAGGGCUUUUGCUUGUAAACCUCUGUAGUGAGAGAAAAAAAUCCCAAUCUUUGGGACAUGAUGGUAUCUCAAAAGUAAGCCCCGGCUAACUACGUG